UACGUAGGGUGCAAGCGUUGUCCGGAAUUAUUGGGCGUAAAGAGCUCGUAGGCGGCUUGUCGCGUCGACCGUGAAAACUCACAGCUCAACUGUGAGCUUGCGGUCGAUACGGGCAGGCUCGAGUUCGGUAGGGGAGACUGGAAUUCCUGGUGUAGCGGUGAAAUGCGCAGAUAUCAGGAGGAACACCGGUGGCGAAGGCGGGUCUCUGGGCCGAUACUGACGCUGAGGAGCGAAAGCGUGGGGAGCGAACAGG
Molecule: ribosomal RNA, 253 nt
Filed under: uncultured bacterium
Lineage: Bacteria
Description: partial 16S ribosomal RNA
Rfam family: Bacterial small subunit ribosomal RNA
Source: RNAcentral